UGUAGAGCAGGAUCUCACCAACACUGGCCACUUGGCAUCACCUGGGGAGCUGCUCGCUGUGAGAGUUUCUGUUGUCCAGAAGCUGGUGGGAAUUUUUGAAGCCUGAUCUCAACUGUAUCUCUUCUGAAAGUACAUCUGGGUUGUCCUUCAGCAAGUGGUCUGGAAAGGAGCAGCUUGUCCUUGGACCUGUUUGCAGAAGCUGGAGUUCAGCAGCUGUCUUUUGCUUGGCUUCUCCCCACCUCCAGGACUGAUGAUAUCCUGAAAGGCAGGAGGGGAACGAGGUUCAGAAGGGCUGGGACGCUGCUGAAAAUUGGGCACCAGAUUCUGGAAGCGGAGCAAGUCCUUGUCUACUGGACUUCACUCACAAGUACCCUGUAGAAAAAUUUUAUCAAGAGCAACCUGCAAGGCAAGAUGUUGUGAGAUUGGGCUGAAAUCAUGUGCGAGGGUAGAAUCACCUUACGUGGGGUAAAUCCAGAGAAGCUGGGAAAACUAAAUGCAGAUCUGAUGAUGGAAACAGAGCAGUGCAACCGGAGCUCACAAAAUAAAGGGUUUGUCUGGGCAAUGGCUGGACUAGAAGAAUUUGGCUUUUGAACGAAAACCCGAACGUUUUAUUAGACUCUCUGGAAAAAUACAAAACCAGAAAAAAAAAUUUUGGGUUGACCUGUAACAUUUUAUUUGGAAAAUAUUUAUUUUGGGGUGCCUAGCCUUUUCGCUUGUAACUUGGGAUGCUUUUUAAGUGACAAAUGCCAUCUCAGAAAGUAGUGUUGAAAGGAAUUAAAUGCUUCUUAAGUUGAAAAUGAAUGUUUCAACACUGAAAAAAAAAAAAAUAAAAUUGCUCCCUUUGUGAGACUUGAAACGAUU
This 861-nucleotide long non-coding RNA is filed under the name Calidris pugnax (ruff). RNAcentral's name for it is "lncRNA (ENSCPUG00000009067.1)". The record is from RNAcentral. Lineage: Eukaryota; Metazoa; Chordata; Aves; Charadriiformes; Scolopacidae.